This 75-nucleotide transfer RNA is filed under the name Acidithiobacillus ferrivorans. RNAcentral describes it as "tRNA-Val". It matches the Rfam family "tRNA". From Rfam's summary of the family: Transfer RNA (tRNA) molecules are approximately 80 nucleotides in length. Their secondary structure includes four short double-helical elements and three loops (D, anti-codon, and T loops). The record is from RNAcentral. Lineage: Bacteria; Pseudomonadati; Pseudomonadota; Acidithiobacillia; Acidithiobacillales; Acidithiobacillaceae.
GGGCGGUUAGCUCAGUGGUAGAGCACUGCCUUCACACGGCAGGGGCCACAGGUUCGAACCCUGUACCGCCCACCA